CUUCGGGAAUGGAUUAGUGGCGAACGGGUGAGGAACACGUGAAGAAUCUGCCCUCCACUUUGGGAUAACUCCGGGAAACCGGGGCUAAUACCGGAUACGAGGCCUGCGGGCAUCCGCGGAUUUGGAAAGUUUUUCGGUUAGGGAUGAGCCCGCGGCCUAUCAGCUAGUUGGUGAGGUAGUGGCUCACCAAGGCGACGACGGGUAGCCGGCCUGAGAGGGCGACCGGCCACACUGGGACUGAGACACGGCCCAGACUCC
RNAcentral lists this ribosomal RNA (258 nucleotides) under uncultured bacterium. Its description in RNAcentral is "partial 16S ribosomal RNA". It matches the Rfam family "Bacterial small subunit ribosomal RNA", at positions 78 to 339 of the family's 1533-position model. The record is from RNAcentral.